RNAcentral lists this ribosomal RNA (274 nucleotides) under uncultured bacterium. RNAcentral describes it as "partial 16S ribosomal RNA". It matches the Rfam family "Bacterial small subunit ribosomal RNA", at positions 523 to 796 of the family's 1533-position model. The record is from RNAcentral.
AGACGAACCGGCCAAACGUUAUUCGGAAUCAUUGGGCUUAAAGGGUGCGUAGGCGGCGCGGUCAGUUGGGUGUGAAAUCCCUCGGCUCAACCGAGGAACUGCGCCCAAUACUGCCGUGCUCGAGGGAGACAGAGGCGAGCGGAACUGAUGGUGGAGCGGUGAAAUGCGUUGAUAUCAUCAGGAACACCAGUGGCGAAAGCGGCUCGCUGGGUCUCUUCUGACGCUCAGGCACGAAAGCUAGGGUAGCGAACAGGAUUAGAAACCCCAGUAGUCC